CGUUGAUAGGUCAGGUGUGGAAGUGCAGUAAUGCAUUAAGCUAACUGAUACUAAUUGCCCGUACGGCUUGUCCCUAUAACCUUAGCAGGU
This 90-nucleotide ribosomal RNA is filed under the name Massilia aquatica. RNAcentral's name for it is "partial 23S ribosomal RNA". The stretch from base 1 to 75 matches the Rfam family "Bacterial large subunit ribosomal RNA", at positions 2851 to 2925 of the family's 2925-position model. The record is from RNAcentral. Lineage: Bacteria; Pseudomonadati; Pseudomonadota; Betaproteobacteria; Burkholderiales; Oxalobacteraceae.